AGGGGGGGGUAGUGUAACGUUUCCUGCACUAAGAUCUUAAUGUCUGAGUUUCACCGUAGAAGAGUGAUUGACAUGGUGUCAACGUACCCAACUGGAGAUUCAUUUCUUCAGCACCUUGAUAAUCACCGUUGAGCUCAAUAGAUAAAUAAAAGCGAUUUCCACUGGCAUGUGAUUCCAACUGUUGUGCAACACCGUCGCUUCCGAGCCUGCCACAGCCUGGAAAAAAACAGUACCCUUCGACAGGCUUUCUAAUGCUAGAACCUGGCAUCCAACACUGAUUGAGUGAAUAUUCUCACGCUUGUUUUUCUGCGUUAUCCUCUAGGUCAUGUUGAAAUGAAUGUGAAAGACAAAGAUUUGGAGCAGGAAACUUUCGGUGUCCAUUCAAGCACAUGAAUCUGUUUGCCAAUGCAUCAGUUAAUAGACAGGUUGCUUCUACCUGCACAGGAAUCUAUUCACGUACUGCAUGCAACGAGGUGACAAAGUUGGUAAACCUGUCAAACCCAGAAACCAACUUCACCAUCAGGCACCUCGAGCUCGCAAGAGGCUCCCUUGGAUUCGAGAGCAAGGUAACGGUGGAGGAUGAGUGGAGAGUGGGACCUGGAGACUUUGUGGAGAAAAAGCGGCUGGCGGAAG
RNAcentral lists this long non-coding RNA (633 nucleotides) under Physcomitrium patens. Its description in RNAcentral is "long non-coding RNA (PPAT_LNC002415)". Lineage: Eukaryota; Viridiplantae; Streptophyta; Bryopsida; Funariales; Funariaceae. The record is from RNAcentral.